GAUGAACGAUGGCGGCGUGCCUAAUACAUGCAAGUCGAGCGAACGGACGAGAAGCUUGCUUCUCUGAUGUUAGCGGCGGACGGGUGAGUAACACGUGGAUAACCUACCUAUAAGACUGGGAUAACUUCGGGAAACCGGAGCUAAUACCGGAUAAUAUUUUGAACCGCAUGGUUCAAAAGUGAAAGACGGUCUUGCUGUCACUUAUAGAUGGAUCCGCGCUGCAUUAGCUAGUUGGUAAGGUAACGGCUUACCAAGGCAACGAUGCGUAGCCGACCUGAGAGGGUGAUCGGCCACACUGGAACUGAGACACGGUCCAGACUCCUACGGGGGGCAGCAGUAGGGAAUCUUCCGCAAUGGGCGAAAGCCUGACGGAGCAACGCCGCGUGAGUGAUGAAGGUCUUCGGAUCGUAAAACUCUGUUAUUAGGGAAGAACAUAUGUGUAAGUAACUGUGCACAUCUUGACGGUACCUAAUCAGAAAGCCACGGCUAACUACGUG
This 497-nucleotide ribosomal RNA is filed under the name uncultured bacterium. Its description in RNAcentral is "partial 16S ribosomal RNA". It matches the Rfam family "Bacterial small subunit ribosomal RNA", at positions 28 to 507 of the family's 1533-position model. The record is from RNAcentral.